Molecule: unclassified non-coding RNA, 324 nt
Filed under: soil metagenome
Description: partial contains 5.8S ribosomal RNA, internal transcribed spacer 2, and large subunit ribosomal RNA
Rfam family: 5.8S ribosomal RNA (bases 1-120)
Source: RNAcentral
GAUGAAGAACGUAGCGAAAUGCGAUAAGUAGUGUGAAUUGCAGAAUUCAGUGAAUCAUCGAAUCUUUGAACGCACAUUGCGCCCCUUGGUAUUCCAUGGGGCAUGCCUGUUCGAGCGUCAUUUGUACCUUCAAGCUUUGCUUGGUGUUGGGUGUUUGUCCUGAGGGACUCGCCUUAAAGUAAUUGGCAGCCAGUGUUUUGGUUUUGAAGCGCAGCACAAGUCGCGAUUCAAAGCUAUACGCCAGCUUCCACAAGCCUUUUUCACUUUUGACCUCGGAUCAGGUAGGGAUACCAGCUGAACUUAAGCAUAUCAAUAAGCGGAGGA